RNAcentral lists this ribosomal RNA (433 nucleotides) under uncultured bacterium. RNAcentral describes it as "partial 16S ribosomal RNA". It matches the Rfam family "Bacterial small subunit ribosomal RNA", at positions 29 to 507 of the family's 1533-position model. The record is from RNAcentral.
AACGAACGCUGGCGGCAUGCCUAACACAUGCAAGUCGAACGAGACCUUCGGGUCUAGUGGCGCACGUGUGCGUAACGCGUGGGAACCUGCCCUUAGGUUCGGAAUACCUCCCCGAAAGGGGUGCUAAUACCGGUUAAUGUCUUCGGACCAAAGAUUUAUCGCCUUUGGAUGGGCCCGCGUUGGAUUAGCUAGUUGGUAGGGUAACAGCCUACCAAGGCGACGAUCCAUAGCUGGUCGGAGAGGAUGCUCAGCCACACUGGGACUGAGACACGGCCCAGACUCCUACGGGAGGCAGCAGAGGGGAAUAUUGGACAAGGGGCGAAAGCCUGAUCAAGCAAUGCGGCGUGAGUGAUGAAGGCCUUAGUGUUGUAAAGCUAUUUUACCCGGGAUGAUAGUGACAGUACCGGGAGAAUAAGCUCCGGCUAACUCCGUG